GGAGUGAUCUGAUGCUGAAACUUUAGUUCUUAUAUACUCCAGUGUAGUGUCUUCAUCAGAAGUGAUCUGAUGUUUAAACUUUAGUCGUUGUUUACUCCAGUCUUGUGUCUUAAGUUCGACAAUGGAAUUGUGUCUUUAUUUAACUUUGUAUUCAUUCUAUCGAUUUAGCUACUUCUGUUUGUCUUUGUCAGGUACGAGUUACAUGAACUGUGUGCAAAAGUUGGAUGAAAAAAUUACAAAAGAACAAAGUUUCAGUUGAUGAACCUCGCAUGUAGAUAUUCAUAGAGACGAGUAUUUUCUUUUGCUAUGAUCGACAUGUAAAUGAUUGUUGAAAAAACGAGUCGUGUUGCUCGGUGAAUGAUGAUGAAAAAUCACUAAAUGUACCUGAAGAAUGAUGCCAAGCAUAUCCGGGAAAUUUCACGAGAAAAGUCACGUGAACCGAAGGUAGAAUGUUCGUUCCGUUUCCUCGAGUUAUAUACGUCGGCAAAUCACGCAGAGGUUUCCAAGAAAGGCUGUAAAAUAAUGUGAAUCGAGCAACAACUAUAGUAUUUCGUAUUUCUUGCGUAAUUCGGAAAUUUUUUAAGAAUAUGAUAAUAGACUUUGAGAUAUUUCUCGAAAGUAAUAGCACUGUAAAUACUGUUUUCUGAUUGGCUGAAAAGCAGUGAAAACCAAACAACUUCUUUUCUUAAAAAAAAACAUGGCGGCAGUUGUCCGAAGAAAGAUUUCCACAAUUGCAAAUUGCUUGAAAUUCAAGAAUUACAAAGGAAUGCAAAGAAUAGAAACAAAGCAGUAAGUACAUUUUUUUUUGGGUGAAUGUUUUUAACAGUUAGGCCUCGUAACGAGGCUUUUCUGAAGCGAUAGAGACUAGAGAGUAAAGAGGCUUUCCCGAAGCGAAAGAGAGUAACGAACCAAGACAGAGAUAGACGGUACAGUCAAGAAAUAUCUCAAAGUAUAUUGUUAUUGAGUAAUAGUAUAGUUUCUCGUGCAAUUACGGUUAAACAUACACUUGUGAGUUUUUUAAAGACUGUAAAUAGCUAUGUUUUGCUGCAGUGCUUAAAGAAAUUCAUUCGUGCAUGUUUAUAUAUAAUUGCACUCGAAACUAUAUUAUAAACUAUACUAACAUUAAUUAUACUUAAAAUAAAACUUGUUUCCUCAAUAGAAUAACUUUACUUAUAAUAAUAUGAUUUAAAUAUUGGUUUAUUUAUGAGAUAUAAUUGACCUGAGUACACAUUUUUAGCUUGACAUUUAUACAACAGUCGUGUUUUGCUUUUGCUCAGGAACAUAUGCCGCUUAAACAUGAUUUUUUACUUUUUUUAAAUGCGUAACUUUAUACGUUCAACCGACUCGCUCAAAUCAAUAAAAUUAUCUCAACAUAAUUUUAUUAUGGCGACGUAUAAGUGAAUACUCAAAACAGUAUAUUGGUAGCCAGGUAAAGCUUUUCUUGUCUGCAUGCAUAAAUCCUUUCAAGAGUAACAAACAUAUCACUGUGAUAACGUAUAGCGUGCAUGGAAAAUCUGCUUCACAAACACAGCAAGAAAAAAAGUUUUCUCGUUUUCAUUGUGUUUAUUGCAAACCACAAAAGUUGUAAACACUUUUCGUACUUGCGCAAGAUGUAUAAAAAUCGUCGAAAACAUGUAUACCCUUUUUGGCUAGAAUAAAGAAAAGCACGUGCUUGCUA
Molecule: long non-coding RNA, 1678 nt
Organism: Xenia sp. Carnegie-2017
Lineage: Eukaryota; Metazoa; Cnidaria; Anthozoa; Malacalcyonacea; Xeniidae
Exons: 2
Source: RefSeq, a predicted model, not a curated record